AACGAACGCUGGCGGCAGGCUUAACACAUGCAAGUCGAGCGAGACCUUCGGGUCUAGCGGCGGACGGGUGAGUAACGCGUGGGAACGUGCCCUUCUCUACGGAAUAGCCCCGGGAAACUGGGAGUAAUACCGUAUACGCCCUUUGGGGGAAAGAUUUAUCGGAGAAGGAUCGGCCCGCGUUGGAUUAGGUAGUUGGUGGGGUAAUGGCCCACCAAGCCGACGAUCCAUAGCUGGUUUGAGAGGAUGAUCAGCCACACUGGGACUGAGACACGGCCCAGACUCCUACGGGAGGCAGCAGUGGGGAAUCUUAGACAAUGGGGGCAACCCUGAUCUAGCCAUGCCGCGUGAGUGAUGAAGGCUUUAGGGUUGUAAAGCUCUUUCAGCUGGGAAGAUAAUGACGGUACCAGCAGAAGAAGCCCCGGCUAACUCCGUG
RNAcentral lists this ribosomal RNA (433 nucleotides) under uncultured bacterium. RNAcentral's name for it is "partial 16S ribosomal RNA". It matches the Rfam family "Bacterial small subunit ribosomal RNA", at positions 29 to 507 of the family's 1533-position model. The record is from RNAcentral.